RNAcentral lists this long non-coding RNA (1334 nucleotides) under Pan troglodytes (chimpanzee). RNAcentral describes it as "long non-coding RNA NONPTRT004991". Lineage: Eukaryota; Metazoa; Chordata; Mammalia; Primates; Hominidae. The record is from RNAcentral.
CCAAAACAUAGCCAUGUAAUCUAAUUAAGACAUGAGUGAGUUGUGCAGCUAUAGGAGGACAUAGGAUAGAGAAGGGCAGGCACUCUUGUUUGAACAAGGAACCUGAGCAAAGACACAGGAGGGGAAUGUUCCUGGUAAAUUUGUAAAUCGCUGGGAAUUAUGGCAGCACAGCGUGCUUAUGGGAGGCUAAUAGUACAUUAGGCUGGAGAGGUGAGUCCUAGAACCACAGCCUCUUUCUAUCCUCUUUACACUCAUGUCAUCCCCUACCCCAUGUAACCCCAUUUUCUCAGACCCAUCAAAAUUUUCUGUAACUUGGGGAAUAGGUAUGGGGUUUGGAGUAGGGGAGAAAAUGUGGCCCCACUUGGAUCACGAGGCCCCCACUUGAACGUGUGCUUGACUUGGAACAUAGAGCGCCAAGGACUCAUGGCCUUUGUGCCUUGGCCUUCUUUUUGGGUGGGGCCUGGAGUGGUGGGACUUGGAGGGUCAAGGGGAUGGCCUGAGCUGCACUCCCUCACCCACUGUCGCAGGAGGAGAAGUCUGUGGUGAGUGGCUGUGAUGGAAUCUCUGCUUGUUUGUUCCUCUCCGAUGAUACACUCUUUCUUACUGCCUUCGACGGGCUCCUGGAGCUCUGGGACCUGCAGCAUGGUUGUCGGGUGCUGCAGACUAAGGCUCACCAGUACCAAAUCACUGGCUGCUGCCUGAGCCCAGACUGCCGGCUGCUAGCCACCGUGUGCUUGGGAGGAUGCCUAAAGGUAAGACUUGGGGUCUGCAGUGGUCAGAGUGGCCCUGAGCCAUGACUCACCCUCGUGAAUUUGUUCUCUCAGUGCGGCAGAGGCUGCUGACUCCCUGGCCAGAGAAGGCCUUCCCUGCUGAGGGCAGGGUAACUGGACAAGGUUGCUCCUGGAGGUCUGGGACUGAGAAGUUCAGGCAUCUCUGUUCAGCAUCCUGAUUCCUCCUCUCUCUCCCUCAGCUGUGGGACACAGUCCGUGGGCAGCUGGCCUUCCAGCACACCUACCCCAAGUCCCUGAACUGUGUUGCCUUCCACCCAGAGGGGCAGGUAAUAGCCACAGGCAGCUGGGCUGGCAGCAUCAGCUUCUUCCAGGUGGAUGGGCUCAAAGUCACCAAGGACCUGGGGGCACCCGGAGCCUCUAUCCGUACCUUGGCCUUCAAUGUGCCUGGGGGGGUUGUGGCUGUGGGCCGGCUGGACAGUAUGGUGGAGCUGUGGGCCUGGCGAGAAGGGGCACGGCUGGCUGCCUUCCCUGCCCACCAUGGCUUUGUUGCUGCUGCGCUUUUCCUGCAUGCGGGUUGCCAGUUACUGACGGCUGGAGAGGAUG